Molecule: long non-coding RNA, 457 nt
Organism: Onychomys torridus (southern grasshopper mouse)
Lineage: Eukaryota; Metazoa; Chordata; Mammalia; Rodentia; Cricetidae
Exons: 3
Source: RefSeq, a predicted model, not a curated record
CCACAGAUGUAGAGACUGAAGCAGAGGAGCCAGCAGACACACCCUGCGCCCCUGUAUUAAGAGCAUGAGGAUGACAUCCAGCAAGCUUGGAUGAGCUUCUAGGACCCACGAACCCAGGGCCGAUCUGGCCAAGUUUCCCUUGGCUGUGUAAUCUGCAAAAGCCUCCAAGUCCACACUGCUGUUGAUGGUAUACUCCUUGCCUCCUCCAGUACUGCGAACAUCAGGAGCUUCUGCAUCCCAUGGCCAAACCCCAGAUGUAAUGACAGACGUGCAUACAUACUCUAACAUCACCAUCACAGGGCUAUGCCACUGUGCGUCCGUGAGGGAAGGCCUGACUUAUGUAGCCCAGUUUAUCCUCUAACUCACUAUGGUGGCCACGACUGAUCUUGAACUUCUGACUCACCUUUCUCUGCCUGCCCAUGUCCUGGGAUUAUAUGUAUGGGCCACUAUGCCAGGC